Molecule: ribosomal RNA, 450 nt
Filed under: uncultured bacterium
Lineage: Bacteria
Description: partial 16S ribosomal RNA
Rfam family: Bacterial small subunit ribosomal RNA
Source: RNAcentral
GUGGGGAAUAUUGGACAAUGGGCGAAAGCCUGAUCCAGCCAUGCCGCGUGUGUGAAGAAGGUCUUCGGAUUGUAAAGCACUUUAAGUUGGGAGGAAGGGCAGUAAGUUAAUACCUUGCUGUUUUGACGUUACCGACAGAAUAAGCACCGGCUAACUUCGUGCCAGCAGCCGCGGUAAUACGAAGGGUGCAAGCGUUAAUCGGAAUUACUGGGCGUAAAGCGCGCGUAGGUGGUUUUGUAAGUUGGAGGUGAAAUCCCCGGGCUCAACCUGGGAACUGCCUCAAAAACUGCAUUACUAGAGUACGGUAGAGGGUAGUGGAAUUUCCUGUGUAGCGGUGAAAUGCGUAGAUAUAGGAAGGAACACCAGUGGCGAAGGCGACUACCUGGACUGAUACUGACACUGAGGUGCGAAAGCGUGGGGAGCAAACAGGAUUAGAAACCCGAGUAGUCC